UACUCCUACGGGAGGCAGCAGUAGGGAAUCUUCGGCAAUGGACGGAAGUCUGACCGAGCAACGCCGCGUGAGUGAAGAAGGUUUUCGGAUCGUAAAGCUCUGUUGUAAGAGAAGAACGAGUGUGAGAGUGGAAAGUUCACACUGUGACGGUAUCUUACCAGAAAGGGACGGCUAACUACGUGCCAGCAGCCGCGGUAAUACGUAGGUCCCGAGCGUUAUCCGGAUUUAUUGGGCGUAAAGCGAGCGCAGGCGGUUAGAUAAGUCUGAAGUUAAAGGCUGUGGCUUAACCAUAGUACGCUUUGGAAACUGUUUAACUUGAGUGCAGAAGGGGAGAGUGGAAUUCCAUGUGUAGCGGUGAAAUGCGUAGAUAUAUGGAGGAACACCGGUGGCGAAAGCGGCUCUCUGGUCUGUAACUGACGCUGAGGCUCGAAAGCGUGGGGAGCAAACAGGAUUAGAUACCCUGGUAGUCCACGCCGUAAACGACGAGUGCUAGGUGUUGGGUCCUUUCCGGGACUCAGUGCCGCAGCUAACGCAUUAAGCACUCCGCCUGGGGAGUACGACCGCAAGGUUGAAACUCAAAGGAAUUGACGGA
Molecule: ribosomal RNA, 592 nt
Filed under: uncultured bacterium
Lineage: Bacteria
Description: bacterial SSU rRNA
Rfam family: Bacterial small subunit ribosomal RNA
Source: RNAcentral